GAAUCUUCCGCAAUGGACGCAAGUCUGACGGAGCAACGCCGCGUGAGCGAGGAAGGUCUUCGGAUCGUAAAGCUCUGUUGCCCGAGACGAACGCCUUGGAGAGUGACUGCUCCAGGGGUGACGGUAUCGGAGAAGAAAGCCCCGGCUAACUACGUGCCAGCAGCCGCGGUAAUACGUAGGGGGCAAGCGUUGUCCGGAAUUAUUGGGCGUAAAGCGCGCGCAGGCGGCACUUUAAGUCCGGCGUUUAAGCCCGGGGCUCAACCCCGGUUCGCCCGGGAAACUGGAGGGCUGGAGUGCAGGAGAGGAAAGCGGAAUUCCACGUGUAGCGGUGAAAUGCGUAGAGAUGUGGAGGAACACCAGUGGCGAAGGCGGCUUUCUGGCCUGUAACUGACGCUGAGGCGCGAAAGCGUGGGGAGCAAAC
RNAcentral lists this ribosomal RNA (421 nucleotides) under uncultured bacterium. RNAcentral describes it as "bacterial SSU rRNA". It matches the Rfam family "Bacterial small subunit ribosomal RNA", at positions 359 to 773 of the family's 1533-position model. The record is from RNAcentral.